Long non-coding RNA from Vidua chalybeata, 831 nucleotides. RefSeq lists it as uncharacterized. The transcript has 4 exons. Lineage: Eukaryota; Metazoa; Chordata; Aves; Passeriformes; Viduidae. The record is from RefSeq and is a predicted model, not a curated record.
CUGAUGGUGAUGGUGACGCCGUGGGACGUGGAGCUACACAGGAGCCCCCCUGGCUCACCUGAUCACAUGCCCUGGCUCACCUGAGCAGCGCCCGCGCCUCCCCCGCCAGCCCGCUCAGCUCCUGCGCCCGUGCCUGCAGCCCCCGCGCCUCCUGCUCCAGCCGCGAGCAGCGCGCCCGCAGCUCCUCCCUGCCGCUCUCCAGCCUGCAGCGGGACCCCCCGGCCUCAGCUCCUCCACCUGCGUCUGCAGCCGCAGCAGCUUCUUGGCGGCGGCGGCGCCGGCGGCGUCGGCCUCGAGCUGCUCCCGCAGCGCGCGGUUCUCGGCGGCCAGGUGUCCCUUCUCCUCCAGCAGCGUGGCCACCUGCGGCGCCCAGGUGUGCAGGAUUCCCUCCCAGGUGUGCAGAAUCCCUCCCAGGUGUGCAGGAUUCCCUCCCAGGUGUGCAGGAUCACUCCCAGGUGUGCAGGGAGGGGCACAGGUGUGCAGGAUUCCCUCCCAGGUGUGCAGGGAGGGGCCCAGGUGUGCAGGAUUCCCUCCCAGGUGUGCAGAAUUGCUCCCAGGUGUGCAGGAUCCCCUCCCAGGUAUGCAGAAUUGCUCCCAGGUGUGCAGGAUCCCCUCCCAGGUAUGCAGAAUUGCUCCCAGGUGUGCAGGAUCCCCUCCCAGGUGUGCAGGAUCCCCUCCCAGGUGUGCAGGAUUCCCUCCCAGGUGUGCAGGAUCCCCUCCCAGGUGCUGCCACCUCUCCCACGAGCUGGCAGAGAACCCCCUCCCCCUCGCCCUCAGGUGGAAAUCGGGGGGCACCCAAGAUUUGGGGUUCCCCCCCCCCCCCACAGGUGA